AGUCGAACGAGACGAUUGAAAGCUUGCUUUUGAAAGUCGAGUGGCAAACGGGUGAGUAACGCGUAGACAACCUGCCGUAAAGAUGGGGACAACAGUCCGAAAGGACUGCUAAUACCGAAUGUUGUGGAACUUCCGCAUGGGAGCUCCACUAAAGAUGGCCUCUACUUGUAAGCUAUCGCUUUACGAUGGGUCUGCGUCUGAUUAGCUAGUUGGUGGGGUAACGGCUUACCAAGGCGACGAUCAGUAGCCGGUCUGAGAGGAUGAACGGCCACAUUGGAACUGAGACACGGUCCAGACUCCUACGGGAGGCAGCAGUGGGGAAUCUUCCGCAAUGGGCGCAAGCCUGACGGAGCAACGCCGCGUGAGUGAAGAAGGGUUUCGACUCGUAAAACUCUGUUGUCGGGGACGAAUGUGGAGGUUGUGAAUAACAGCUUCCAAUGACGGUACCUGACGAGGAAGCCACGGCUAACUACGUGCCAGCAGCCGCGGUAAUACGUAGGUGGCGAGCGUUGUCCGGAAUUAUUGGGCGUAAAGGGAGCGCAGGCGGGAGAUCAAGUCUAUCUUAAAAGUGCGGGGCUCAACCCCGUGAGGGGAUGGAAACUGGUCUUCUUGAGUGCAGGAGAGGAAAGCGGAAUUCCUAGUGUAGCGGUGAAAUGCGUAGAUAUUAGGAGGAACACCAGUGGCGAAGGCGGCUUUCUGGACUGUAACUGACGCUGAGACUCGAAAGCUGGGGAGCGAAUAGG
This 743-nucleotide ribosomal RNA is filed under the name uncultured Peptococcaceae bacterium. RNAcentral's name for it is "bacterial SSU rRNA". It matches the Rfam family "Bacterial small subunit ribosomal RNA", at positions 60 to 776 of the family's 1533-position model. Lineage: Bacteria; Bacillati; Bacillota; Clostridia; Eubacteriales; Peptococcaceae. The record is from RNAcentral.